RNAcentral lists this ribosomal RNA (450 nucleotides) under uncultured bacterium. RNAcentral's name for it is "partial 16S ribosomal RNA". It matches the Rfam family "Bacterial small subunit ribosomal RNA", at positions 354 to 796 of the family's 1533-position model. The record is from RNAcentral.
GUGGGGAAUAUUGGACAAUGGGCGAAAGCCUGAUCCAGCCAUGCCGCGUGUGUGAAGAAGGUCUUCGGAUUGUAAAGCACUUUAAGUUGGGAGGAAGGGCAGUAAGUUAAUACCUUGCUGUUUUGACGUUACCGACAGAAUAAGCACCGGCUAACUUCGUGCCAGCAGCCGCGGUAAUACGAAGGGUGCAAGCGUUAAUCGGAAUUACUGGGCGUAAAGCGCGCGUAGGUGGUUUUGUAAGUUGGAGGUGAAAUCCCCGGGCUCAACCUGGGAACUGCCUCCAAAACUGCAUGACUAGAGUACUGUAGAGGGUAGUGGAAUUUCCUGUGUAGCGGUGAAAUGCGUAGAUAUAGGAAGGAACACCAGUGGCGAAGGCGACUACCUGGACUGAUACUGACACUGAGGUGCGAAAGCGUGGGGAGCAAACAGGAUUAGAAACCCCAGUAGUCC